This 69-nucleotide transfer RNA is filed under the name Stomatella planulata. Its description in RNAcentral is "tRNA-Arg". Lineage: Eukaryota; Metazoa; Mollusca; Gastropoda; Trochida; Trochidae. The record is from RNAcentral.
AAGCAGAAAGUGAAAAUAUUACAUAUGGUUUCGGCCCAUUUCUAGGUAGUGUAAGUCUGCCUCUGCUUA